Long non-coding RNA from Saccostrea cuccullata (small rock oyster), 256 nucleotides. RefSeq lists it as uncharacterized. The record is from RefSeq and is a predicted model, not a curated record. The transcript is spliced from 3 exons. Lineage: Eukaryota; Metazoa; Mollusca; Bivalvia; Ostreida; Ostreidae.
GGAUAAAAUAAGAGACAAGGCAUUGCUUCUCCCUUUUGCGAGAAUAUGAGGACAUUAUUUCGGAAAAUAGCAGAAAACCGAGACAAUUUGCACCAGCUCCGUAGAUCCAUCACUGCACCAGGCCAGCUGUCAAGAGUUUCAGGCUUAAAGAAUGAAUAAAUAAAAAAUGCAUCAUUUCUCCACAGGGCCUAGCUAUUUCCAAACGUUGGGCAAAUGGAUUCAUUCAGGCAGCAAGUUAAUCCAUCAUUUAAGGAAA